CCUACGGGUGGCUGCAGUAAGGAAUAUUGGUCAAUGGACGCAAGUCUGAACCAGCCAUGCCGCGUGGAGGAUGAAGGUCCUCUGGAUUGUAAACUUCUUUUAUCUGGGACGAAAAAAGAUUUUUCUAAGUCACUUGACGGUACCAGAUGAAUAAGCACCGGCUAACUCCGUGCCAGCAGCCGCGGUAAUACGGAGGGUGCAAGCGUUAUCCGGAUUCACUGGGUUUAAAGGGUGCGUAGGCGGACAUAUAAGUCAGGGGUGAAAUCCUGCAGCUU
Molecule: ribosomal RNA, 275 nt
Filed under: uncultured bacterium
Lineage: Bacteria
Description: partial 16S ribosomal RNA
Rfam family: Bacterial small subunit ribosomal RNA
Source: RNAcentral